Molecule: transfer RNA, 75 nt
Filed under: Fidelibacterota bacterium
Lineage: Bacteria; Pseudomonadati; Fidelibacterota
Description: tRNA-Pro
Rfam family: tRNA
About the family: Transfer RNA (tRNA) molecules are approximately 80 nucleotides in length. Their secondary structure includes four short double-helical elements and three loops (D, anti-codon, and T loops). Further hydrogen bonds mediate the characteristic L-shaped molecular structure. tRNAs have two regions of fundamental functional importance: the anti-codon, which is responsible for specific mRNA codon recognition, and the 3' end, to which the tRNAs corresponding amino acid is attached (by aminoacyl-tRNA synthetases). tRNAs cope with the degeneracy of the genetic code in two manners: having more than one tRNA (with a specific anti-codon) for a particular amino acid; and 'wobble' base-pairing, i.e. permitting non-standard base-pairing at the 3rd anti-codon position.
Source: RNAcentral
CGGAGUGUAGCGCAGCCCGGUUAGCGCACCUGCUUUGGGAGCAGGGGGUCGGGAGUUCGAAUCUCUCCACUCCGA